Molecule: long non-coding RNA, 730 nt
Organism: Polypterus senegalus (gray bichir)
Lineage: Eukaryota; Metazoa; Chordata; Cladistia; Polypteriformes; Polypteridae
Exons: 3
Source: RefSeq, a predicted model, not a curated record
UUUAGGUGCACAUAUCAAUCUGUAAUUCUGCCUCAAAGCCAGCAUUGCAGGAAUGCACAACAUGUUGCAGAAGACUCUUUCACUGCCCGCUGUGCCCCACUUUCAGCCCUACUGUCAGGGCAAAGAUUGAGGAACAUAUAAAUGGACACAUAAAAAAUGCUUUGGCUUUCAAAGACAAAAUUCUAUGCCGGUGCAGGCUGCCAUGUAGGACACAAGGACACUUUCACUGCCCUGUCUGUAACAGGACAAUCGUACAGCGUGGGGUAUGACAAGGCAUUUAUUGUUAUGUCAGCAUUCUUCAAUGCCAAGUCAGCCACCACUGUCAGGACUGCUCCCUGCUGCACUGUCCGAGGAGCCCCGUCUCCGUCCCGCUGCACUCUCUGAGAGUCAGGAGCCUGCAGUUCUUCAAGAUCUGCAUACUGCUGUGCAGUGGGUUGUCCAAAAUAAGGCGCUUUUCCAUGGACACGUAACCACACCAAAGUAUCUGUCCUUAAAUAAAGAGGACCAGCAGAGGAUCUUAAGAGACAUGCUGGAGGAAGAAGACACUGAAGCAAGGGACUUCUUCCUCUUUGUGUUUCAGUGUGCGGAGGACAUGGAGCUCUUUCUAAAGGCAUGUGUUGACGAGCAGGGACUAAGGGUCAAUGCUACGUUUGAGAUAUAAUGGACGGAGGGAGGCACUGGCUGUUUGUUUUUUAAUGUGUUGUUUUUUUCAAUGUAAAUACAAAAUUAC